GAAACAUUGCUAACAAUAUAGUUUCUUCAAUGAUUUAAACUCACUUAAGCCAGAGAACCUCACACACACUUGAUGUAUAAUAAUAUGAGAAUAAUCGGCAGCUUUCCAUUGCUUUUCAAGACGAAACAUCGAGAAGAGGACAGCCGAACCAGAAGCUUGCCAUGCUAUGAUUCCAUGGACAAAACAUUAAUGAACAAUGACUUUCCAAUUCAGAUAGCGCCGACUUCAAUCGACUUUUAUUUAGUGGGUUUUAGUAUACGGUACGGUUAAGAUAAAUUUAAUUUUACGUGGAUCAAAUAUUUAAGAAACACCCUUUGUAUUAGCCUUCACCCAAAUGCAGAAAUCGAGUUUUUUUUUUUUUUUUUU
RNAcentral lists this unclassified non-coding RNA (366 nucleotides) under Hevea brasiliensis (rubber tree). The record is from RNAcentral. Lineage: Eukaryota; Viridiplantae; Streptophyta; Magnoliopsida; Malpighiales; Euphorbiaceae.